Non-coding RNA from Hordeum vulgare subsp. vulgare (domesticated barley), 125 nucleotides. Lineage: Eukaryota; Viridiplantae; Streptophyta; Magnoliopsida; Poales; Poaceae. The record is from Rfam.
UUGCUACUCCCUCCGUCCGAAAAUACUUGUCAUAGGAAUGAAUGUAUCUAGAUGUAUUUUAGUUCUAGAUACUUUCAUUUUUAUCCAUUUAUGUGACAAGUAAUUUCGAAGGAAGGUAGUAUUAU